This 532-nucleotide ribosomal RNA is filed under the name uncultured Macrococcus sp. RNAcentral describes it as "bacterial SSU rRNA". It matches the Rfam family "Bacterial small subunit ribosomal RNA", at positions 1009 to 1533 of the family's 1533-position model. Lineage: Bacteria; Bacillati; Bacillota; Bacilli; Caryophanales; Staphylococcaceae. The record is from RNAcentral.
GGGUAGCUUCGGGAGCGGCGACGACAGUGGUGCGAUGGUUGUGUCAGCUCGUGUCGUGNGAGUGUGGGUUAAGUCCCGGCAACGAGCGCAACCCCACUUUCUAGUUUGCCAUCAUUCAUUGGGGCACUCUAGCGAGACUGCCGGUGCAAACCGGAGAAGGUGGGGAUGACGUCAAAUCAUCAUGCCCCUUAUGAUUUGGGCUACACACGUGCUACAAUGGAUGGUACAAAGGGCCGCAAAACCGCGAGGUCAAGCAAAUCCCAUAAAACCAUUCUCAGUUCGGAUUGUAGUCUGCAACUCGACUACAUGAAGCUGGAAUCGCUAGUAAUCGUAGAUCAGCAUGCUACGGUGAAUACGUUCCCGGGUCUUGUACACACCGCCCGUCACACCACGAGAGUUUGUAACACCCGAAGCCGGUGGAGUAACCUUUUAGGAGCUAGCCGUCGAAGGUGGGACAGAUGAUUGGGGUGAAGUCGGAACAAGGUAGCCGUAUCGGGAGGUGCGGCUGGAUCACCUCCAGUCGACGCGGCCG